This 245-nucleotide ribosomal RNA is filed under the name uncultured bacterium. Its description in RNAcentral is "partial 16S ribosomal RNA". It matches the Rfam family "Bacterial small subunit ribosomal RNA", at positions 15 to 244 of the family's 1533-position model. The record is from RNAcentral.
GAUCCUGGCUCAGGAUGAACGCUGGCGGCGUGCCUAACACAUGCAAGUCGAACGAAGCACCUUUUAAGAUUCUUCGGAUGAUUGAUUGGUGACUGAGUGGCGGACGGGUGAGUAACGCGUGGGUAACCUGCCCUGUACAGGGGGAUAACAGUUGGAAACGGCUGCUAAUACCGCAUAAGCGCACGAAAGGACAUCCUUUUGUGUGAAAAACUCCGGUGGUACAGGAUGGGCCCGCGUCUGAUUAG